Molecule: unclassified non-coding RNA, 263 nt
Filed under: plant metagenome
Description: partial contains small subunit ribosomal RNA, internal transcribed spacer 1, and 5.8S ribosomal RNA
Source: RNAcentral
UUUCCGUAGGUGAACCUGCGGAAGGAUCAUUAUUGUAUAACCGAGGUGCGAGGGCUGUCGCUGACCCGAAAGGUCGUGCACGCCCGAGUGCCCUCACUCACAUCCAUCUCACCCCUAUGUGCACCACCGCGUGGGUCCCCCUUUGGCUUGUCCGGAGGGGGGCUUACGUUUUCACACAAACUUUGUAUGCAGUGUAGAAUAUAUUUUUUGUUUUUGCGAUCACGCAAUCAAUACAACUUUCAACAACGGAUCUCUUGGCUCUC